Molecule: long non-coding RNA, 299 nt
Filed under: Mytilus galloprovincialis (Mediterranean mussel)
Lineage: Eukaryota; Metazoa; Mollusca; Bivalvia; Mytilida; Mytilidae
Source: RNAcentral
UUGCAGUUCAUUAAAUAAUGACUGCCACCGUUUAUAACACCAAAUAAUCCUCUCAGGUGAUGGUUUUAUCAUAGUCCGUGCUCGCUUCAAUAAUGUUUUCAUCCAAAACGUCUUACCUGAACCAGUAGGUCCAGCCAACAUCAUAGUGAAUGGAUGAUGUAAUACCACAUUCUUUGGCGGCGGCGGAGGGGUGGUGGCGGAGGCGGUGGCGGAGGUGUAAGCGGCGGCGGAUAUGCAUCAUUGGUCUUCGGAUAUGGUUGACUGAUUCUGUGUUUGUUUCUUUGGUGUCGCAACAUGAC